GCACAGUGGGGCUUCUUCCG
RNAcentral lists this unclassified non-coding RNA (20 nucleotides) under Chlamydomonas reinhardtii. RNAcentral's name for it is "small RNA Cre_1656". The record is from RNAcentral. Lineage: Eukaryota; Viridiplantae; Chlorophyta; Chlorophyceae; Chlamydomonadales; Chlamydomonadaceae.